This 21-nucleotide non-coding RNA is filed under the name Arabidopsis thaliana (thale cress). Lineage: Eukaryota; Viridiplantae; Streptophyta; Magnoliopsida; Brassicales; Brassicaceae. The record is from RNAcentral.
UCGGAUUCGAAAUUUCACGGU